GACGAACGCUGGCGGCGUGCUUAACACAUGCAAGUCGAACGGAAAGGCCCUGCUUUUGUGGGGUGCUCGAGUGGCGAACGGGUGAGUAACACGUGAGUAACCUGCCCUUGACUUUGGGAUAACUUCAGGAAACUGGGGCUAAUACCGGAUAGGAGCUCCUGCUGCAUGGUGGGGGUUGGAAAGUUUCGGCGGUUGGGGAUGGACUCGCGGCUUAUCAGCUUGUUGGUGGGGUAGUGGCUUACCAAGGCUUUGACGGGUAGCCGGCCUGAGAGGGUGACCGGCCACAUUGGGACUGAGAUGCGGCACAGACUCCUACGGGAGGCAGCAGUGGGGAAUAUUGCACAAUGGGCGGAAGCCUGAUGCAGCAACGCCGCGUGCGGGAUGACGGCCUUCGGGUUGUAAACCGCUUUCGCCUGUGACGAAGCGUGAGUGACGGUAAUGGGUAAAGAAGCACCGGCUAACUACGUG
Molecule: ribosomal RNA, 468 nt
Filed under: uncultured bacterium
Lineage: Bacteria
Description: partial 16S ribosomal RNA
Rfam family: Bacterial small subunit ribosomal RNA
Source: RNAcentral